CCUACGGGAGGCAGCAGUGGGGAAUCUUGGGCAAUAGGCGAAAGCCUGACCCAGCAACACCGUGUGGGCGAUGAAGGCCUUCGGGUCGUAAAGCCCUGUUGAUAGGGACGAAGGGCGAAGGGUUAAUAGCCCCUAGCCUGACGGUACCUUUCGAGGAAGCCCCGGCUAACUACGUGCCAGCAGCCGCGGUAAUACGUAGGGGGCGAGCGUUGUCCGGAAUUAUUGGGCGUAAAGAGCGUGUAGGCGGUUCGGUAAGUCUGCCGUGAAAACCUGAGGCUCAACCUCGGGCGUGCGGUGGAUACUGCCGGGCUAGAGGACGGUAGAGGCGAGUGGAAUUCCCGGUGUAGCGGUGAAACGCGCAGAUAUCGGGAGGAACACCAGUAGCGAAGGCGGCUCGCUGGGCCGUUCCUGACGCUGAGACGCGAAAGCUAGGGGAGCGAACAGGAUUAGAUACCCUGGUAGUCCUAGCCGUAAACGAUGGACACUAGGUGUGGGGGGAGUCGAAUCCCUCUGUGCCGCAGUUAACGCGUUAAGUGUCCCGCCUGGGGAGUACGGCCGCAAGGCUAAAACUCAAAAGAAUUGACGGGGGCCCGCACAAGCAGCGGAGCAUGUUCUUUAAUUCGAUGCAACGCGAAGAACCUUACCUGGACUUGACAUGGUGCUGCAAGCGCACGGAAACGUGUGACCUUCGAGGGUGCACCACAGAUGCUGCAUGGCUGUCGUCAGCUCGUGUCGUGAGAUGUUGGGUUAAGUCCCGCAACGAGCGCAACCCCCGUCGCAUGUUGCCAGCAUUUAUUUGGGGGACUCACGCCAGACUGCCGGUGACAAACCGGAGGAAUGUGGGGAUGAGGUCAAGUCCUCCCGGUUUUACUCCCCCGCUUCAAACCCGCUACCCGGUUGAUACACUCGGCUGUCAAAU
Molecule: ribosomal RNA, 919 nt
Filed under: uncultured bacterium
Lineage: Bacteria
Description: bacterial SSU rRNA
Rfam family: Bacterial small subunit ribosomal RNA
Source: RNAcentral